GGGUUGUGAGGUUAAGCGACUAAGCGUACACGGUGGAUGCCCUGGCAGUCAGAGGCGAUGAAGGACGUGCUAAUCUGCGAUAAGCGCCGGUAAGGUGAUAUGAACCGUUAUAACCGGCGAUUUCCGAAUGGGGAAACCCAGUGUGAUUCGUCACACUAUCAUUAACUGAAUCCAUAGGUUAAUGAGGCGAACCGGGGGAACUGAAACAUCUAAGUACCCCGAGGAAAAGAAAUCAACCGAGAUUCCCCCAGUAGCGGCGAGCGAACGGGGAGGAGCCCAGAGCCUGAAUCAGCAUGUGUGUUAGUGGAAGCGUCUGGAAAGGUGCGCGAUACAGGGUGACAGCCCCGUACACAAAAGCGCAUGUGCUGUGAGCUCGAUGAGUAGGGCGGGACACGUGGUAUCCUGUCUGAAUAUGGGGGGACCAUCCUCCAAGGCUAAAUACUCCUGACUGACCGAUAGUGAACCAGUACCGUGAGGGAAAGGCGAAAAGAACCCCGGCGAGGGGAGUGAAAAAGAACCUGAAACCGUGUACGUACAAGCAGUGGGAGCACAGGUUUACCUGUGUGACUGCGUACCUUUUGUAUAAUGGGUCAGCGACUUAUAUUCUGUAGCAAGGUUAACCGUAUAGGGGAGCCG
RNAcentral lists this ribosomal RNA (636 nucleotides) under Salmonella enterica. Its description in RNAcentral is "partial 23S ribosomal RNA". It matches the Rfam family "Bacterial large subunit ribosomal RNA", at positions 1 to 668 of the family's 2925-position model. The record is from RNAcentral. Lineage: Bacteria; Pseudomonadati; Pseudomonadota; Gammaproteobacteria; Enterobacterales; Enterobacteriaceae. RNAcentral also lists the same sequence under 3 other names.